RNAcentral lists this ribosomal RNA (447 nucleotides) under uncultured bacterium. Its description in RNAcentral is "partial 16S ribosomal RNA". It matches the Rfam family "Bacterial small subunit ribosomal RNA", at positions 29 to 523 of the family's 1533-position model. The record is from RNAcentral.
AGCGAACGCUGGCGGCAGGCUUAACACAUGCAAGUCGAACGGUCCUUCGGGAUAGUGGCGGACGGGUGAGUAACACGUGGGAACGUACCCUUAGGUUCGGAACAACACAGGGAAACUUGUGCUAAUACCGGAUAAGCCCUUCGGGGGAAAGAUUUAUCGCCUUUGGAGCGGCCCGCGUCUGAUUAGCUUGUUGGUGAGGUAAUGGCUCACCAAGGCUACGAUCAGUAGCUGGUCUGAGAGGAUGGCCAGCCACACUGGGACUGAGACACGGCCCAGACUCCUACGGGAGGCAGCAGUGGGGGAUCUUGCGCAAUGGGCGAAAGCCUAACGCAGCCAUGCCGCGUGGAUGAUGAAGGUCUUAGGAUUGUAAAAUCCUUUCACCGGGGACGAUAAUGACGGUACCCGGAGAAGAAGCCCCGGCUAACUUCGUGCCAGCCGCCGCAGUAA